RNAcentral lists this transfer RNA (71 nucleotides) under Candidatus Pacearchaeota archaeon. Its description in RNAcentral is "tRNA-Val". It matches the Rfam family "tRNA". From Rfam's summary of the family: Transfer RNA (tRNA) molecules are approximately 80 nucleotides in length. Their secondary structure includes four short double-helical elements and three loops (D, anti-codon, and T loops). Further hydrogen bonds mediate the characteristic L-shaped molecular structure. tRNAs have two regions of fundamental functional importance: the anti-codon, which is responsible for specific mRNA codon recognition, and the 3' end, to which the tRNAs corresponding amino acid is attached (by aminoacyl-tRNA synthetases). tRNAs cope with the degeneracy of the genetic code in two manners: having more than one tRNA (with a specific anti-codon) for a particular amino acid; and 'wobble' base-pairing, i.e. permitting non-standard base-pairing at the 3rd anti-codon position. The record is from RNAcentral. Lineage: Archaea; Nanobdellati.
GGCCCUAUAGUCUAGCGGUAAAAUAAUUCGUUUACACCGAAUAGUCCGAGGUUCAACUCCUCGUGGGGCCA